Molecule: long non-coding RNA, 5569 nt
Organism: Brassica napus (rape)
Lineage: Eukaryota; Viridiplantae; Streptophyta; Magnoliopsida; Brassicales; Brassicaceae
Exons: 6
Source: RefSeq, a predicted model, not a curated record
UUGAACUUUUUACAAUUUUUUCUAAUUUCAUUUGAUUUUUCCGGUAUUUUUCUGUUUUUUUUAAAGAAACCGACACGUCGUCAUUUUGAGCUGUAAAAUGAACAGUACCAGUCGUCUAUGAACAGAAAAACAUCUUUGGAGGUUUAUUAUGAUAAAAAUGUCACUUUGAAAGUUUAAAAUUCUAGUAACAAAACUUCGGUGUUUAAAGUGUUAGAAAGUGACACUUUCAAUGUUUAAAAUGCGAUUUUCCCUAAAAGAAAGAUGUUGGGGUUCGUUUUGGCUGACUUUUCAUUGAUUUUAUAGUACUCUCAACUCUUUUAAUUUUGGAACCAUAACAGUUGGAUAAAGAAUAUGUAUGUUUUGGCUCUGUAUCAAAAUUGUAAAAAGAAUAGGGUAAUAUAUUUUAGUUUUGUGUAUAAAUUAUGUUUUUCAUUUCCUUAAAUAGCGAAUUAACGAAAACGGUACAUAUUUAGUUGUGAAAAUACGUACCUACCUACCUAUGGGAUGAAUCCCUCAAUUCUCAUGAAGAUUAAAAAAAAUUAAAAGAACAAAAAUCUAUAAAAAAGUAGAUACCAGAUAAAAAAAAAUUUAAAAGGAACAUCAUAUCCGAAAAACAUAGAAUAGUCAUCCCAUGCAUCAUUAUCCUCACCGUCAUUAGUCAUAUCCUUAGGCAUUCUCCAGCUCUUCGCAAUCUCAGCCUCGUUCCCAUUUGUGAGGAAUUCUAAUACCUUAACCACGUGAUAUAAAGUCACAAAACCAAAUCCUUUUAUUUCGUUUUUUUGUUGGUUCUAAUAUGUUACGUUCGAAAUCUAAUGCAACCUAAGUCAUGCUUUGUCGUAAUAUUGGUCAUUGUUGGAUACAAUGUGAAGCAGUAAGAAAAAGCCUAUUCAUCUGUUGAUCGUCGUACAUACUGCAAUAUCGGAUCAACCAAUUCUCUUCUGUUGUCUCCAACACCGGUUUGGCCAGUACAUAAGGUAUGAGUUUAGCUAAAAGAUUAGUUAUAAAAAAGUCAACGAGGAUUAGAGAUAUCAAUCCAAAUCUUACAUCAGAAAUUUAGAAAAAUAAUAUCUAAUAUAUAAUAUGAUUUUUGGGAAGAGACCAAAAAUAAAUUCAUGCGGACUUACCUCUUAUUAGGUCCGAAAUAGACAAUAUCGUACUAAUAGUACAAAUACAAUAGAGAAUUGCACAUGAGCUUUAAAAGAAAAUCCAACAGAUUUCGUCCCGUGUCUUGUAAGGCAAUCAAAUGGGUAUGAAUAGAAUUAUACCCAUAAGAGAAUGUGUUCCUAAGCGGUACUAACCGGUCUUCGUCCGCUUAUGAUUUCAGAAGAAGAAUAGCAAAUGCAUAUAUGUCAGUUUUCUCGUCUAAGGUUCUUUUCAGGACUCUGAUGCUAGAUAGCCAAACAUUAAGGAAUUGACUGCUAAACCGAAUUAUAUCACGGUGUAUGAUCCGAUGGUUGCAGCGUUUGUGAAGAUAACGAAGCCCUUUAGCAACUCCAACCAGAGUCUUUAGAACAGAAUGACAUCUGAAAUUAGAUUACCUUGCAACGCGGAGUAAAAGUUGAGAACCUGAAGAUAAGAUAGAGACCUCUCUCAACACAACAAUCUACGAGAAGAGCAGUGUUGGGAUGAGAGACAUGACUUAUGAUGGCGAGUACCGUAAGAAACUAUUUUUCAUUGUUCAUGUCACCAUUUUCUUUGUUACUUUCUUCACGACGAUUCUUCUUCCAUCCCAUAGAUAUCCCAUUUACGCUUCUCUGCAAUUCUACAAAAAACUUAGAAGAGAAUUCUAAUUUUAAUGCAAAUUUGAUAUUAUUUUAAUAAUUUAUUUUAAAAACAAUCAUUUUCAUAAGUGAUGAAAAAGACUAAAGUUUAAAUUAUUUAUAAACUUUUAAUAGUCAUUUAUAAAAGUUCAUAAACCCAACAUCAUGCUUUUUAAAUAUUAAGAAAAAAACAAAAGUUUCAAACGUUUUUCGAUUAUAUUAUCCUGUAAAAAAGACAAAAGUUGUGGAUCUGAUCAAAAGUUUUAAAUUUAGUCUCUCUAAUGCUCACCUUGACGAAAAUCAUUUGUGGCUUUAGAGAUCUCACUAAUUAGUCAUAAUAAGUAACACACUGGAUUAGCGGUUGACGUUUUGGGUGUUUCAAUCCUCUUUUCUUCUCCAUUUCCAUAGAGGAGAGGGUGCAUGAUAAGAGAAGAUAUGAAUCUGUAGCGAGACAUCGGUGUCGUUGUUGUGAUUGGGCUCAGAUAGGUGUAAAACCAACAAUCGGCCUAUGUUUGGGUUUGUCUGAAGGCGAACGGAAGCUAGAAGAAGCCACUGAACCGUUGAAGAAGCAUCAUCGCCGGAGGAGCUAACUGAAUCUCUCGACAUACUUGGUACUUUUUAUGUGUGAGAAAAAACAUUUUCGGUACCUUUUGUAGUUCUUACAUAUAUUAAAAACAUAUAUCAAUAAUAUUAUCUGAUAAGUACUAGUGUACUACAUUUGGCGCUAACAUUGAUUAUCAAAAUGAUUCGUUACACGAAUAUUCUUAAUGAAUUAAAAACUAUUAUAUUCAUGAUAUUACUAAUGAUUGUUUUAUUUCCAUUUUAGUAAAAAAAUUAAUCAUCUUUUUUAAACCAUAAAUAAAUAAAAUAUAUAGAUUUUGUAUUGUCCCUAAAAACAUAAAAAAAAGGAAAUAUCUUUACUGUUCAAAAUCUAUAGGUUUUUAUAUAUAUAACAUAAUUUACACAACAUUUGACAAAAUAAAAUAAUUUAGAUAUUUGUUUUUUAUAAAAAUAAUAUUUUAUUAUAAUUUUACUUUUUAUCAAAUGAUUAAAAAUAAAAUAAAUUUUAAACAUUAUAAAAUGAUCAUCUAAUAUCAUAUUUCUCAAACACAUGCCUAAUUAAGUUAUUAGGAUUUAGUUAUUCUGUAAAUUUACAUGCCUAAUUAAAUUUCAUCUAAUAUCAUAUUUCUAAAACACAUGCCUAAUUAAGUUAUUAGGAUUUCCAUGAAAUUUCAAAAUAUUAUAGGUUAUGUUUAUUAAUGCAACUCCAACGUUAUAUUUAUGUUUCCUAUUUUUCAAAAAAACAUAUAUCAAUUUUUUUUAAUGUUUGUAAAUAUACUUGUAAUUUUAAGAGGAUGAACAGAACUAAAUAAAGUUAAAAAAUAAACUACUUUUAACUUUAUUAAAAAAAAUUAUUCAAUUUAAAAUGAUAUAUGUAAUUCAACAUACCCAAAAAUGAACACUUAAACUGAUCCAAAAUAUUAUUCUUAAAAUCAAAUAUCUGAUUAAGAUAAGAACAUAUUGAUAAAUACAAUCGUUUAACCUUUUAGAUAUAAUUACGUUAUAAAAUUGUAACUAAUCAAUGAAGUUUCAAAAUAUUUCCAAUUUGGUUUGUUUAUGCAAGUCUCAAUCCCUCGACAUAAUUUUAAAUUGAUCCAAUAUGACAUAUAACAAAAUAUUAGAAUAUGACAAGUAUCUUAUACAAUAAAACAUACUUGUCUCUCUCCUCAUUAAGCCACGUCAUCAGGUAGGAGAGAGCAAAUUUCGACACCUAUCAACACCUGGGUUGUUCUGUGUUUUUUUUCUUGGUUUUGUUUCUUAUGUUGUCUGAUGCGGAAAUGUGAACUGGACUUUAUAGUAUUUGUGCAUGAAGCCCAGAGUGAAGCCCAGUCUCCUUUACGCUAUCUUAACCCACAAGUGUUUAGGGUUUUCUCCCAUUUUCUUCUCGCGGCUCGAACUCACCGACCAAACCAAUGUUUGGCUCAGAUCGCCGUUCCGAUAUACAUAACCCCCCAGAUUUCCAUAUGGAGGCCACUACAAGCUCCUCCUUCGAACCGUUUUUGUCAUUUUUUUUUGGAAAAGCUCUCCGUCGUCUGUAUACUUCUCUGUUCCACUGAAGAAACCAGAACGAUAUGUAAUGUUUUAUUCACAAUUGAGAACUCUAUUAAAUUUCACCAUUAAGUCACUCCGUCUAUCCCACUACUCGAAUUUAAUUACUACUCUUCCCAUCUUCUUUGCAAAUCCCUAAUUUUCCAUACUAGUGCAGCCAUCUCCAUAUCUCAUCGUUUCACCAGAUUCAUUUCGUCCUUAUAGUGUUGACGCGUCUCAUGCGUUUCUAGGAAGCAUGUUUUUUCUUGAUGAAAAGGUUUGCUUUCUUCGUGUGUUUCCCAAUUUUCAGUUAAAGCUUUUCCAAGGUUCCAUCUAUGUUCAUCGCCUUAAUACUUUCAAACAUCUCUGUUCAGUGGGUUUGAUGCUACGAGAAGCAACCACCACUUCAAGAAACAAAAUCACCUGUCACAAUAUGCUUCACUGACCUAACUAAGUUUGUUGAGAUUCCGGCAGGACCUGCUCCAGUACCUCUGGAGUUCUUUAGUUUUUGUCUUUAUGAGCAACUCAUGGAAUUGGCAAACAAAAAUACUCAAGUUUUAGGCAUCAUAGGGGAGGUGACUCAGGUGAGCAACGUCAAUAUAACUUUUAAUGACGAAUCACAAACAACUCAACACAUAAUGGAGGCCAUCCAAAUUGACGGGCCAGCAAACUCCACCAGAACUUAGAUGGGGUUGGUGUGGAGCCUAAGGUCAUUAAUAUCAAAGAACAUUAAUCCAAAAUUUGUAGGAGGACGCUUAUAUUUGAAUGCAAUUUCAGGGACCAAUUUCCACUUCGACAAAGAACUUCGGUGAGGAUGGUGUCACCAGCUCUGCAAGUUAUACCAAAUAUGGAGAUGUUCAGAAAAUUGAAACUGUUACGUUGCUCAAGCUUAAUGCGUACGUGCUGAAAUCUCGCUGCAGGUUUCUGAGUUCCUUUGCACCAACAAAGUAGAGGCCACUGAAACCACCAAUGGAUGGUGCUACAUUUUCUGCUACAAAUGUUCAAGAAAGCUACAGCGAGGAUUCCCUUCAUUCACAUGCACCUAUUGUCAUAACUCUAGCACUAUUGGUGUUGUCAGGUAUUGCCCGGUAGAUUUAUCUCACUUCUCACUUUUUAAAAUAUUCACUAAACAAGCCAUCUAACAUUCUCCCAUUGGCGUUUUAAAAUUUUGCAAACCGUGUGGAGAUUUGUGUCUCUGAUGCGAGAGAGUCAUCCAUGUUUGUUGUCAUCCAUGUUUGACUACAAAUUGGUAUUUCAAUAUUUACAUACACAAGCUACGUAAUGAUGUCUACAUUCUUUUCAUUAAAAUGCAGGCUGCAAGUGUUGCAGACCCUCUAGAGUCUGAGGUUUCACAAUUUCUCCAAGAAAUAGUUGUGAGACGUUUGAUUUUCAAUUGAAGCUUUUUGAGUUCAUUUUCAACUCCAAACAUCAAUCAUUCACUGUGUCCCACAUAUUUUAUUGUCAUCAGCGUCCCCUACUGAAACUUUUACUUAGGAAAGUUUUACGCCCUAUUUGGCGUGACUGGGAAAGAAAUUGGUGUGUUUUCAGUCGCUGGGAAGUGAGAAGGAAUAUGCAGGGACAGCACUAUCACCGGAUUCAUUUGAUUAUUUAGUCCCCGCGUCUUUUGUUUCAAACUCCAAAUGAAGAAAAUAUCAUUAACAUUUUCUGUCGCUGAUGCUAAUCGUUGCGUUCUUGAAACGAACACACCCUUAAUAUGUUAA